AGGGCGGUGGCAGAGUGACCAUGCGGUAGGUUGCAAAUCUAUAGAAGGCGGGUUUGAUUCCCGCCCGACCUUCCA
RNAcentral lists this transfer RNA (75 nucleotides) under Pleionea litopenaei. Its description in RNAcentral is "Pleionea sp. HL-JVS1 tRNA-Cys". It matches the Rfam family "tRNA". From Rfam's summary of the family: Transfer RNA (tRNA) molecules are approximately 80 nucleotides in length. Their secondary structure includes four short double-helical elements and three loops (D, anti-codon, and T loops). Further hydrogen bonds mediate the characteristic L-shaped molecular structure. tRNAs have two regions of fundamental functional importance: the anti-codon, which is responsible for specific mRNA codon recognition, and the 3' end, to which the tRNAs corresponding amino acid is attached (by aminoacyl-tRNA synthetases). tRNAs cope with the degeneracy of the genetic code in two manners: having more than one tRNA (with a specific anti-codon) for a particular amino acid; and 'wobble' base-pairing, i.e. permitting non-standard base-pairing at the 3rd anti-codon position. The record is from RNAcentral. Lineage: Bacteria; Pseudomonadati; Pseudomonadota; Gammaproteobacteria; Oceanospirillales; Pleioneaceae.